UACGUAGGUGGCAAGCGUUGUCCGGAUUUACUGGGCGUAAAGAGCGCGCAGGCGGUCGGAUAAGUCGAAUGUGAAAGCCCCCGGCUCAACUGGGGAGGGUCAUUCGAUACUGUUCGACUCGAAGGCAGGAGAGGGAAGUGGAAUUCCCGGUGUAGUGGUGAAAUGCGUAGAUAUCGGGAGGAACACCAGUGGCGAAGGCGACUUCCUGGCCUGUUCUUGACGCUGAGGCGCGAAAGCCAGGGGAGCAAACGGG
RNAcentral lists this ribosomal RNA (253 nucleotides) under uncultured bacterium. RNAcentral describes it as "partial 16S ribosomal RNA". It matches the Rfam family "Bacterial small subunit ribosomal RNA", at positions 524 to 776 of the family's 1533-position model. The record is from RNAcentral.